RNAcentral lists this ribosomal RNA (460 nucleotides) under uncultured bacterium. RNAcentral describes it as "partial 16S ribosomal RNA". It matches the Rfam family "Bacterial small subunit ribosomal RNA", at positions 338 to 795 of the family's 1533-position model. The record is from RNAcentral.
CCUACGGGUGGCAGCAGUGAGGAAUAUUGGUCAAUGGGCGCGAGCCUGAACCAGCCAAGUAGCGUGCAGGAUGACUGCCCUACGGGUUGUAAACUUCUUUUAUACAGGAAUAAAGUGCGUCACGUGUGCCUUUUUGUAUGUACUUUAUGAAUAAGGAUCGGCUAAUUCCGUGCCAGCAGCCGCGGUAAUACGGAGGAUCCGAGCGUUAUCCGGAUUUAUUGGGUUUAAAGGGAGCGUAGAUGGGUUGUUAAGUCAGUUGUGAAAGUUUGCGGCUCAACCGUAAAAGUGCAAUUGAUACUGGCAGGCUUGAGUACAGUUGAGGUAGGCGGAAUUCGUGGUGUAGCGGUGAAAUGCUUAGAUAUCACGAAGAACUCCGAUUGCGAAGGCAGCUUACUAAACUGCCACUGACAUUGAUGCUCGAAAGUGUGGGUAUCAAACAGGAUUAGAUACCCGUGUAGUC